This 305-nucleotide ribosomal RNA is filed under the name uncultured bacterium. RNAcentral describes it as "bacterial SSU rRNA". It matches the Rfam family "Bacterial small subunit ribosomal RNA", at positions 333 to 655 of the family's 1533-position model. The record is from RNAcentral.
CGUAGCCUACGGGGGGCAGCAGUGGGGAAUAUUGGGCAAUGGGGGGAACCCUGACCCAGCGACGCCGCGUGAGGGAAGAAGGUUUUCGGAUUGUAAACCUCUGUCCUUGGUGACGAUAAUGACGGUAGCCAAGGAGGAAGCCCCGGCUAACUACGUGCCAGCAGCCGCGGUAAUACGUAGGGGGCAAGCGUUAUCCGGAUUUACUGGGUGUAAAGGGAGCGUAGACGGCAGAGAAAGUCUGAAGUGAAAGCCCGCGGCUCAACCGCGGAACUGCUUUGGAAACUUUUCGGCUAGAGUACCGGAGA